RNAcentral lists this ribosomal RNA (469 nucleotides) under Triticum aestivum (bread wheat). Its description in RNAcentral is "partial small subunit ribosomal RNA". Lineage: Eukaryota; Viridiplantae; Streptophyta; Magnoliopsida; Poales; Poaceae. The record is from RNAcentral.
GUGGUGCUGCUUAUAUAGCAGUUUGAACCGACCUACUGUUCUAAAUGAGCUAAGCUCUUACGUCAUUCCAAAACACCACGUCACUGCUGACCUAUACUACUUCCUUAGACCAACUACCCCAGUUGGUCCGCGUGAGGAGAGGGAAGGAGGUGCUGGACAUGCCCACGUCUCGCACGGAAUGUGGCGCACCCAACUCCCCUCCUAGCCUGCCUCACAGCGCAAGCGCGUCCGCCGCACGCGCCUCCUCAGCCGAGCUCUGCCCGGCGGUCUUGGAGCCAUCGCCGGCGACGCCUUCCUUCGGCAUAUGCUUCGGCAUAACCUGAGGCUAUGAUACCAAUUGUUAGCCCAGAACUACUGCGACAAGAGAGUCGUGGCUAUCUAAUGGUUGUAUUUGCACUCAACUCACUAGUAACACACGCACUCACUAGUGCAGCUCAAGACACACACACGAGAUACUGGAGUACUACUU